CACAGCUAGUAAUUAAGGCUGCCGGCAUUAGCCACAGUAAAUAUAAAGUAUCAUGUGGAUCAUGUUUGCGCUUAUGAGACGGAAGUGGAGAUGUCUGACAAGCCUGGUUCAGCCUUCUUCCUUUGUGAAACCCUUCUACCUCAAAUGUGCUCAUAAAAUAUGAGAAGUGUGCAACCUCCUUCGUUGUUACUGCCUUGGUAGGAUCAUCAUCCUGCCAAGAGAGAUAGUAUUGGUCUGGCUUGGACCCCUAAAGCUUCUCGAGUUUGCCUGCUGACAAGCUUCUUUAAAGGAUCAGAGUUGUUUAAAGAGAAUCCUCCUGAAGUUGCUGUCCUAUUAGAUUCUCCUCAGGCUCAAGGACUGUCUCAGUUACGUGGAUCAGGCUCCAGUUUUUUACAGGAUGUGCACAUGCCCAGCAUAAAUUGUGGACAGUUUAUCAGUAGCAAGACUUCUGGAUGAAAACAUCAUGGAAUUUAUUUUAGUUCCUUCUUAAAGACCAGAUCAGCUCAGAGAUGCGUCCUGACGAUGAUUUCUAGACUAUUAAUGCUGUUGCCAGGAUGGUACAACCAGAGUGAAUAUGCUGCACUUUUCCAUGGCCUAACACAGACCUAGAAGACUGGCAGAAGGAGGGCAGUUAUUUCCUGAUCUGUGCUGUACGUACCAAGGACAAGGGAGCAGCUGCCAAAAGAUUGGCACAGGAUUUUAAAGAAAUAGGAUCCUGAUGUUCAAUUUCUGAAGUUUUUUCAGGCACCUGGGUGACCUAUGUUUUCAUUUGCACCACGAACCCCGUCAUUCCUGGGAAAGACAACAGGAGCAGCAGGGUCCAUGCUGAAGAAAAGGCACAAUGCAGCCCAGAUUGUGAGACAUGCUGAGCUGAAGCCUGUUUCAUUCUUGCAGAGCCAAGAUAGAACUUGUUACCAAAAAAUGGGUAAGUCGGGCCACAAGGGGAAUAUAAAAUGUGCAGAAGGGAGGAUAUGCAUGCAAUCAGCACCCACACCCAGAGCGGCAAGGAAAGCAGCAUAUGAGAAGCUGCUUGGCUUGCCUUGCAUUUACUUUGUAAAUUUGGGGGAGGAGAGGAAGGAGAGGUGCAAAAGCAUGAACUGAAAUUGCUACUGCAGUCUGUGCUUUCCUUUAUAGGCACAGAGAUAAGAGCAAGCACAGGUUUGGCAUUUUAAAAUGGUAAAGAGGGACUAAAGAGAGCUCUGGAGUUGGAGACUACAACGCCUGCCACUACACGUGUCUCACUUUUUUUCAUGAACUAUCCCGGCUCCCUUAUAAGGGUAAUUAGCUUGGAUAUUGUCCCACUUCUCUCAGUAAAAAGUUAUUCUGGGGUCUCAUUGCUCUAAUAAUUAGAAACCAGGUGAGAAGAUGGGAGCAGCCAUGCUGGGUCAGAUCAGGGAUUCUUCGACCUAUUGAAUGUCCCAUGUUAGUUGGUAGCAUAUUUGCACAGGAAAAGUAAAACCUCUUGAACUUAUUAAAAGAAGUUAGGAAUAUAACCAGAUAAACAAUUAGCCUCUCUUGAAGAAAAUAUACCUACAAAUUAUAUUUGUG
Molecule: long non-coding RNA, 1548 nt
Organism: Struthio camelus australis
Lineage: Eukaryota; Metazoa; Chordata; Aves; Struthioniformes; Struthionidae
Source: Ensembl